ACAAACUUGGUCAUUUAGAGGAAGUAAAAGUCGUAACAAGGUUUCCGUAGGUGAACCUGCGGAAGGAUCAUUAUUGAAAAACCGAGGACCUGUCGGUCAGCCCCGCUCCACCUUGACGGGCGUGAGCGGGCUCCGGCGGGUUCGUCCAACCCCACAACCCUGUGCACCUUUGAGGACGGGACUGGCGCGAGCCGGACCUGGCCUUUCAUUACAAACCCUAUGUCGUAGAAUGUGUUGCGGGCUCUGCCCGUCUAACGUAAAACAACUUUCAACAACGGAUCUCUUGGCUCUCGCAUCGAUGAAGAACGCAGC
RNAcentral lists this unclassified non-coding RNA (312 nucleotides) under uncultured fungus. RNAcentral describes it as "partial contains small subunit ribosomal RNA, internal transcribed spacer 1, and 5.8S ribosomal RNA". The stretch from base 1 to 73 matches the Rfam family "Eukaryotic small subunit ribosomal RNA", at positions 1759 to 1831 of the family's 1831-position model. The record is from RNAcentral. Lineage: Eukaryota; Fungi.